CUGCAGAAGAGUGGGGUGGGCACUCUGUACACGCUGGCUGUGAGGACAGAUGAAUUCUGCUGGAACAGGGUGGAAGAGGACUUUGUGGAUGGGGUGAUGUUGACUCAAGAUCAUGAAGGACAAGUAAAGUUCACUGGGGACAACACUGAGGGGAAGCCACGAAUCUCUCCAGAAAAAGCCUGAUCUGAGAAGGCAGCGUGUUUUGUGAGGAUGAACAAGGGACAGGACGGCCGCUUUACCACCUUAACGUUCAAAAGGAGGAAACACGCCAAAAUCACGGAGAGCAUCUGUGAUCCACGAUCCUUGAUGCAGACAUAGCAGAGAGUACGAGAAGAACGAAGAAAAAGAGAAAAGAAUGUUCAGGAACAUUCUCAGGUGCAAAAGGACGGAGCUCUGAAGAGUUGGAUUGGCCUAACUGAUUGGCCCAAGACAUUACAGAGGCAGAAGCAGGCAGUGGAAUCACCAGCCCAAGGUCACCUUGCUAUAGGGAGGACUUUCAAAGGGUUGGAACCCAAGCUCCGUGGUUUGGAAAGCCAGCCUGGCCCGGUUCUCCUGACCACGGGAGCAGGCCCACUAGUUCAACGGGGCCUCGUCUGCCAAGUCCGUGGCAUGCCUAGGGCUGCUGGGUGAGUUCAUGCUCCAUCCCGGAAGGGCCGGGGCCUCUGGGACGCAAUCAGAACUCCAGGAAACUCGGCGCGGGAAAGGCUGUGAGUGGCUGCUUGGGGUUUGGCUCCUGGCCUGGCCAACCCCAGCCAGCCGGCCAUGCCCAGCCAACGGACUCUGUGGGCAGACUUUUCAGAGUUGUGCGGACAGCCCAGUAGCAGCGAUAUUGAAAACAUUGCCUUGGGGCGCCUGGGUGGCUCAG
Long non-coding RNA from Mustela erminea (ermine), 865 nucleotides. RefSeq lists it as uncharacterized. The record is from RefSeq and is a predicted model, not a curated record. The transcript is spliced from 4 exons. Lineage: Eukaryota; Metazoa; Chordata; Mammalia; Carnivora; Mustelidae.